AUACGAGUGGGGCGAGCGUUAUUCGGAUUUACUGGGUGUAAAGGGCGUGUAGGUGGUUAGGUAUGUUAGGUGUGAAAUCCCUCGGCUUACCCGAGGAACUGCAUCUAAAACUACCUGACUAGAGUGUUGGAGAGGAAAGCGGAAUUCCUGGUGUAGCGGUGAAAUGCGUAGAUAUCAGGAGGAACGCCGGUGGCGAAAGCGGCUUUCUGGCCAAACACUGACACUGAGGCGCGAAAGCUAGGGGAGCGAACGGGAUUAGAAACCCCAGUAGUCC
RNAcentral lists this ribosomal RNA (274 nucleotides) under uncultured bacterium. RNAcentral describes it as "partial 16S ribosomal RNA". It matches the Rfam family "Bacterial small subunit ribosomal RNA", at positions 523 to 796 of the family's 1533-position model. The record is from RNAcentral.